RNAcentral lists this ribosomal RNA (506 nucleotides) under uncultured bacterium. RNAcentral's name for it is "partial 16S ribosomal RNA". It matches the Rfam family "Bacterial small subunit ribosomal RNA", at positions 33 to 541 of the family's 1533-position model. The record is from RNAcentral.
GACGAACGCUGGCGGCGUGCUUAACACAUGCAAGUCGAACGGAAAGGCCCUGCUUGCAGGGUACUCGAGUGGCGAACGGGUGAGUAACACGUGGGUGAUCUGCCCUGCACUUCGGGAUAAGCCUGGGAAACUGGGUCUAAUACCGGAUAGGAGCCAUUUUUAGUGUGAUGGUUGGAAAGUUUUUUCGGUGUAGGAUGAGCUCGCGGCCUAUCAGCUUGUUGGUGGGGUAAUGGCCUACCAAGGCGGCGACGGGUAGCCGGCCUGAGAGGGUGGACGGCCAGGGUGGGCGUGGAAUGCAGGCGGUAGGAGGACGGGAGGGAGGAGUGGGGAACAGUGGCGACGGGGAGCAAGGCUGAUGCAGCGAGGCGAGGGGGGGGCUGACGGGUUUGGGGUUGUAUAUGCCGUUCGAGAGUGUGAAAUCUUUUAGUGCCGGUACCUAGUAAAGAAGCACCGGACGACGCAGUGCGAGCGGCCGCUGAAACCGGCGGAAGGGCCAGCUUCUGAAC